CCUUGAGAAGCAGUCCAGCCCACAAUCAUUGCUCCAUGGCUCAGCCCACAAUCUUAGUGAGCAUUCCACUUGUUGACCUAGCUCUCUGUCUCUAUAUAAGGUAACACUCAACUUUUCACACUCAUCUUUUUAAUCAACCUAACUUGUCCCCACUUUUCAAAAUGUUUCGAAUCGCCACGGUCUUUCUUCGCCACUCCCGCACGGCUUCUCGCUCCCCACGCUUUCCACCCGCCAUCUCCACUUCCUUCACUUCCCAUUUCGCCCCACCAUUUCCCCGACUUCCCCUCCGCAACUCUCCCUUUCCACCCCUUUCACCGCGCUCAACUUCCUUCCCUUCCCAUUUCACCCAACCCUUUCCCCGAUUUCCCCUCCGCAUCUCUCCCUUUCCACCCCUUUCACCGCGCUCCACUUCCUUCCCUUCCCAUUUCACCCCACCCUUUCCCCGACUUCCCCUCCGCAACUCUCCCUUUCCACCCCUUUCACCGCGCUCAACUUCCUUCCCUUCCCAUUUCACCCCACCAUUUCCCCGAUUUCCCUUCCGUAGCUCUCCCUCUCCACCCCUUUCACCGCACUCCACUUCCUUUCUUUCCCAUUUCACCCCACCCUUUCUCCGACUACCCCUCCGCAGCUCUCCCUUUUCACCCCUUUCACCGCGCUCCACUUCCUUUCCUUCCCAUUUCACCCCACCCUUUCCCCGACUUCUCCUCCGCAACUCUCCUUUUCCACCCCUUUCACCGUGCUCCACUUCCUUCCCUUCUCAUUUCACUCCACCCUUUCCCCGACUUCCCCUCCGCAACUCUUCAUUUCCACCCCUUUCACUAUGCUCAACUUCUAUCCCUUCCCAUUUUACCCCGCCAUUUCCCCGAUUUUCCCUCCGCAGCUCUCCCUUUCCACCCCUUUCACCGCGCUCCACUUCCUUCCAUUCCCAUUUAACCCCACCCUUUCCCGGACUUCUCCUCCGCAACUCUCCUUUUCCACCCCUUUCACCGCGCUCCACUUCCUUCCAUUCCCAUUUAACCCCACCCUUUCCCGGACUUCUCCUCCGCAACUCUCCUUUUCCACCCCUUUCACCGCGCUCCACUUCCUUCCAUUCCCAUUUAACCCCACCCUUUCCCGGACUUCUCCUCCGCAACUCUCCUUUUCCACCCCUUUCACCGCGCUCCACUUCCUUCCAUUCCCAUUUAACCCCACCCUUUCCCGGACUUCUCCUCCGCAACUCUCCUUUUCCACCCCUUUCACCGCGCUCCACUUCCUUCCCUUCUCAUUUCACCCCACCCUUUCUCCGACUACCCUUCCGCAGCUCUCCCUUUCCACCCCUUUCACUGCGCUUUCACCGCGCUCCACUUCCUUCCCUUCUCAUUUCACCCCACCCUUUCCCCGACUUCCCCUCCGCAACUCUUCCUUUCCACCCCUUUCACUGUGCUCAACUUCCUUCCCUUCCCAUUUCACCCCGCCAUUUCCCCGAUUUCCCCUCCGCAGCUCUCCCUUUCCACCCCUUUCACCGCGCUCCACUUCCUUCCCUUCCCAUUUCACCCCACCCUUUCCCCGACUUCCCCUCCGCAACUCUCCCUUUCCACCCCUUUCACCGCGCUCAACUUCCUUCCCUUCCCAUUUCACCCCACCAUUUCCCCGAUUUCCCCUCCGCAACUCUCCCUUUCCACCCCUCUCACCGCGCUCCACUUCCUUCCCUUCCCAUUUCACCCCACCCUUUCCCCGACUUCCCCUCCGCAACUCUCCCUUUCCACCCAUUUCACCGCGCUCAACUUCCUUCCCUUCCCAUUUCACCCCACCCUUUCCCCGACUUCCCCUCCGCACCUCUCCCUUUCCACCCCUUUCACCGCGCUCCACUUCCUUCCCUUUCCGUUUCACCCCACCCUUUCACCUCUUCUUCAUUUUUUUUUUUGAAUUUGAGUUGUUCUUGUUUUAUUUUCCUUUGUGUCUAUAUGAUUCUUUUGCUCCCCAAUCUGCUCCUAUGAUGAUCCGCGAUCCGCAAAGCUACUCCUAUGACCCUACUCCUAUGAUCCCCGAUCCACCAAGAAGCCCAAUGGGCCAUCAUUUGAUGGCCCAGCCCACAAUCUUGAUGAGUCCGUGAGAAGCAGCCUAGCCCACAAUCAAUUCUCCAUGGCCCAACCCACAAUCUGGCGAGUUUGAUGCGUCCUUGAGAAGCAGCCCAGCUCACAAUCAUUGCUUCAUGGCCCAGCCCACAAUCUAGCGAGUUUGAUGCGUCCUUGAGAAGCAGCCCAGCCCACAUUCAUUGCUCCAUGGCUCAGCCCACAAUCCUAGUGAGCAUCUCACUUGUUGAACUAGCUCUCUGCCUCUAUAUAAGGUAACACUCAACUUUUCACACUCAUCUUUUUAAUCAAAAGACAACGAAAACCUAACUUGUCCCCACUUUUCAAAAUGUUUCGAAUCGCCACGGUGUUUCUUCGCCACUCCCGCACGGCUUCUCGCUCCCCAUGCUUUCCACCUGCCAUCUCCACUUCCUUCACAUCCCAUUUCACCCCACCCUUUCCUCGACUUCCCCUCUGCAACUCUCCCUUUCCAUCCAUUUCACCGCGCUCAACUUCCUUCCCUUCCCGUUUCACCCCACCCUUUCCCCGACUUCCCCUCCGCACCUCUCCCUUUCCACCCCUUUCACCGCGUUCCACUUCCUUCCCUUCCCAUUUCACCCCACCCUUUCCCCGACUUCCCCUCCGCAACUCUUUCUUUCCACCCCUCUCACCGCGCUCAACUUCCUUCCCUUCCCAUUUCACCCCACCCUUUCCCCGAUUUCCCCUCCGCAGCUCUCCUUUUCCACCUCUUUCACCGCGCUCCACUUCCUUCCCUUUCCGUUUCACCCCACCCUUUCCCCGACUUCCCCUCCGCACCUCUCCCUUUCCACCCCUUUCACCGCGUUCCACUUCCUUCCUUCCCAUUUCAUCCCACCCUUUCCCCGACUUCCCCUCCGCAACUCUCCCAUUCCACCCCAUUCACCACGCUCCACUUCCUUCCCUUUCCAUUUCACCCCAUCCUUUCCCCGACUUCCCUUCCGCAACUCUCCCUUUCCACCUCUUUCACCGCGCUCCACUUCUUUCACUUCUUAUUUCACCCUAUCCUUUCCUAGAUUUCCCCUUCGCAGCUCUCCCUUUUCAUCCAUUUCACCGCGUUCAACUUCCUUCCUUUCCCAUUUCACCCCAACCUUUCCCCGAUUUCCCCUCCGUAGCUCUCCCUUUCCACCCCUUUCACCGCGCUCCACUUCCUUCCCUUCCCAUUUCACCCCACCCUUUCCCCGACUUCCCCUCCGCAACUCUCCCUUUCCACCCCUUUCACCGCGCCCAACUUCCUUCCCUUCCGAUUUCACCCCACCAUUUCCCCGAUUUCCCCUCCGCAGCUUUCCCUUUCCACCUCUUUUUUUGUUUUUUUUUUUAUUUCACCCCACCCUUUCCCCGACUUCUCCUCCGCAACUCUCCCUUUCCACCCCUUUCACCGCGCUCCACUUCCUUCCCUUCUCAUUUCACCCCACCCUUUCCCCGACUUCCCCUCCGCAACUCUUCCUUUCCACCCCUUUCACUGUGCUCAACUUCCUUCCCUUCCCAUUUCACCCCGCCAUUUCCCCGAUUUCCCCUCCGCAACUCUCCCUUUCCACCCCUUUCACCGCGCUCCACUUCCUUCCCUUCCCAUUUCACCCCACCCUUUCCCCGACUUCCCCUCCGCAACUCUCCCUUUCCACCCCUUUCACCGCGCCCAACUUCCUUCCCUUCCGAUUUCACCCCACCCUUUCCCCGAUUUCCCCUCCGCAGCUUUCCCUUUCCACCUCUUCUUCAUUUUUUUUUUUUGAAUUUGAGUUGUUCUUGUUUUAUUUUCCUUUGUGUCUAUAUGAUUCUUGUGCUCCCCAAUCUGCUCCUAUGAUGAUCCGCGAUCCGCAAAGCUACUCCUAUGACCCUACUCCUAUGAACCCCGAUCCACCAAGAAGUCCAAUGGGCCAUCAUUUGAUGGCCCAGCCCACAAUCUUGAUGAGUCCGUGAGAAGCAGCCUAGCCCACAAUCAAUUCUCCAUGGCCCAACCCACAAUCUGGCGAGUUUGAUGCGUCCUUGAGAAGCAGCCCAGCUCACAAUCAUUGCUUCAUGGCCCAGCCCACAAUCUAGCGAGUUUGAUGCGUCCUUGAGAAGCAGCCCAGCCCACAUUCAUUGCUCCAUGGCUCAGCCCACAAUCCUAGUGAGCAUCUCACUUGUUGAACUAGCUCUCUGCCUCUAUAUAAGGUAACACUCAACUUUUCACACUCAUCUUUUUAAUCAAAAGACAACGAAAACCUAACUUGUCCCCACUUUUCAAAAUGUUUCGAAUCGCCACGGUGUUUCUUCGCCACUCCCGCACGGCUUCUCGCUCCCCA
This 4369-nucleotide long non-coding RNA is filed under the name Brassica napus (rape). Its description in RNAcentral is "long non-coding RNA (BNAP_LNC026355)". Lineage: Eukaryota; Viridiplantae; Streptophyta; Magnoliopsida; Brassicales; Brassicaceae. The record is from RNAcentral.